GGGGAUUUAGCUCAGUGGUAGAGCGCUUGCCUAGCAAGCAUAAGGUCCUGGGUUCGGUCCCCAGCUCCA
This 69-nucleotide transfer RNA is filed under the name Rattus norvegicus (Norway rat). It matches the Rfam family "tRNA". Rfam says of the family: Transfer RNA (tRNA) molecules are approximately 80 nucleotides in length. Their secondary structure includes four short double-helical elements and three loops (D, anti-codon, and T loops). Lineage: Eukaryota; Metazoa; Chordata; Mammalia; Rodentia; Muridae. The record is from Rfam by way of RNAcentral.